RNAcentral lists this ribosomal RNA (261 nucleotides) under uncultured archaeon. RNAcentral's name for it is "partial 16S ribosomal RNA". It matches the Rfam family "Archaeal small subunit ribosomal RNA", at positions 748 to 1008 of the family's 1478-position model. The record is from RNAcentral.
AGGGUGUAAACGCUGCAGACUUGGUGUUGGAGGCCCUUUGGGGGCAUUCAGUGCCGGAGAGAAGUUGUUAAGUCUGCUACUUGGGGAGUACGUCCGCAAGGAUGAAACUUAAGGGAAUUGGCGGGGGAGCACCGCAACGGGAGGAGCGUGCGGUUUAAUUGGAUUCAACACCGUAAAACUCACCAGGGAAGACUGUUACAUGAAGGCCGAGAUGAAGACUCUGCUAGAUUUUCAGAGAGGAGGUGCAUGGCGUCAGUGACU